This 807-nucleotide ribosomal RNA is filed under the name Puelchesia gracilis. Its description in RNAcentral is "eukaryotic LSU rRNA". It matches the Rfam family "Eukaryotic large subunit ribosomal RNA", at positions 385 to 957 of the family's 3401-position model. Lineage: Eukaryota; Metazoa; Arthropoda; Insecta; Coleoptera; Scarabaeidae. The record is from RNAcentral.
GAGUUCAAGAGUACGUGAAACCGUUCAGGGGUAAACCUGAGAAACCCGAAAGGUCGAACGGGGAGAUUCAGACGCGUCUCGGAUAACCGCGGCGAGUCGGUGACGAGAGACGGUCGGCGUUCGCGCCGAACGCUCCGUUGCCGUUCCGUCCGCGGCCGAACGCGUGCACUUCUCCCCCUGUAGGACGUCGUGACCCGUUGGGCGCCGGUCUAAGGCCCGCGGUGGAGCCCGCGCGAGCUUCUGCUCGUUCGGACCCGCGGUGUCCGGCCGGUGACCUGCCGACGGUACGAUUGUGGCGCGGGGCCGCGACCUGUUCGCGUCCGGCCGAUCGCAAGUGCUGACGGACAAUCCGAAAUCCGGACCCGGUGCCGGAUCCGGUCCCGUCUGACUGCUGGCGAUCGUGUUCUCGGUCAGACCCCGAACACGCCCGUCGACGGCGCUAUAGCUUUGGGUACUUUCAGGACCCGUCUUGAAACACGGACCAAGGAGUCUAGCAUGUGCGCGAGUCAUUGGGACUCUUACGAAACCUAAAGGCGCAAUGAAAGUGAAGGUCCGCCGUGCGCGGACCGAGGGAGGAUGGGCGGCCCCGAGGGGCCGUCCCGCACUCCCGGGGCGUCUCGCUCUCAUCGCGAGAAGAGGCGCACCCAGAGCGUACACGCUGGGACCCGAAAGAUGGUGAACUAUGCCUGGUCAGGACGAAGUCAGGGGAAACCCUGAUGGAGGUCCGUAGCGAUUCUGACGUGCAAAUCGAUCGUCGGAACUGGGUAUAGGGGCGAAAGACUAAUCGAACCAUCUAGUAGCUGGUUC